Long non-coding RNA from Fundulus heteroclitus (mummichog), 261 nucleotides. RefSeq lists it as uncharacterized. Lineage: Eukaryota; Metazoa; Chordata; Actinopteri; Cyprinodontiformes; Fundulidae. The transcript has 3 exons. The record is from RefSeq and is a predicted model, not a curated record.
GUCGCGCGGCGGCGGCGGCAGCAGCAGCCAGUGUCAGGUGUCCGGCAGGUUUCUCAGGAGCUCUGACUGAACGGAAGUUCCCACAGGUUGACAGAGAUGGAGAACGGCUCAUUUAAUCGGCAGUCCUGGGCGACGCAGUCCUUGCGUGUUACCGCCAAGGAGCUGUCCAUCGCAGGACGUGGCAAAAGCACUGCGAUUGCAGAACGAUUCUCCAAGUACCAGAAAGCUGCCGAGGAGUCCAGUGCAGAGAAGAAAAAAGCA